This 77-nucleotide transfer RNA is filed under the name Homonota fasciata (South American marked gecko). Its description in RNAcentral is "tRNA-Leu". The record is from RNAcentral. Lineage: Eukaryota; Metazoa; Chordata; Lepidosauria; Squamata; Phyllodactylidae.
GUUGGGGUGGCAGAGCCAGGUAAUAAUGCGCAGGGCCUAAGCCCCUGAUAUCAGAUGUCCAAAUCCUCUCCCCAACA